This 468-nucleotide ribosomal RNA is filed under the name uncultured bacterium. RNAcentral describes it as "partial 16S ribosomal RNA". It matches the Rfam family "Bacterial small subunit ribosomal RNA", at positions 28 to 507 of the family's 1533-position model. The record is from RNAcentral.
GACGAACGCUGGCGGCGUGCCUAACACAUGCAAGUCGAACGGAAACUUCCUGCUUUUGUGCGGUGCUCGAGUGGCCACCGGGUGACUAACCCGUGAGUACGCAGCCCCUGACUUUGGGAUAUCCUCAUGACACUUGUGCUCAUACCGGGUAAGAGCUCUUGCUGCUUGGUGGGGGUUGGAAAGUUUCGGCGGUUGGGGAUGGACUCGCGGAUUAUCAGCUUGUUGGUGGGGUGGUGGCUUACCAAGGCUUUGACGGGUAGCCGGCCUGGGAGGGGGACCGGACACACUGGGACUGAGAUGAGGCACAGACUCCAACGGGAGGCAACGGUGGAGAGUAUAGUACAGUGGGAUGGGGCAUAAUGCAACAACGCCGCGUGGGGGAUGAGGGCCUGGGGGUUGGAAAGCGCAUUUGUCUGAGACGAAGCGUGAGUGACGGUAAUGGGUAAAGAAGCACCGGCUAACUACGUG